CCAGCCGAGGCGGUGAGCAGGGCUCCCGUGCCUCCCGGAGCCCCCAUCCAUCCCACCCACCCCAUCCAGGGCCGGCGGUGCUUCGGAGCCUUCCUGGAAGAAGUCGAUUUGUUCCCGUACCUGAAGCAGGUGAUGUUUAUGCAGAGACAUCUGAAUGACAGCAGGAGUGAAGGACAAAUCUAAUAAAGCCUAAUAAACCGUGAGAGUCUAAAUGUCAUUAAACUUACAAAGAUGAGACUCCAAAUCACCAAAAAGAGAGAUGACUUCUGAGGAAAAGAGGAGAGCAGUAUGGAUGAGAGGACGAGUGGAUUUCUGAGGGAAACAUCUCACAGUGCUCUUUGGUGGACCAAGAAGUGGACCUUCCAGUGGGUGUCCUGGGGAGCUGAGGAGCAGUGUCUCCUGUUACGAAGGGAAACUGCUCGUUUAGAAGCCCUCUAUGGAGUGGGAAUCGAACCGAGGAUGCGACACUUUGUGUUGAUCCAGAGGUCUGUCCAUGCUCUCAGAGCUCUGGCACUCAGUCAGGCCCAGGCAGCGGCUAGGCAGCCCCUGUCCUCUGCUCCAACACCUGGCCAAAGUCUCUACGGUUUCCCCGUGU
Molecule: long non-coding RNA, 595 nt
Organism: Phasianus colchicus (ring-necked pheasant)
Lineage: Eukaryota; Metazoa; Chordata; Aves; Galliformes; Phasianidae
Source: RefSeq, a predicted model, not a curated record